This 1418-nucleotide ribosomal RNA is filed under the name uncultured organism. RNAcentral's name for it is "bacterial SSU rRNA". It matches the Rfam family "Bacterial small subunit ribosomal RNA". The record is from RNAcentral.
CGGCGCGCUUAAUGCAUGCAAGUCGAGCGGUGAGGUCUCCUUCGGGAGAUACAUCAGCGGCAGACGGGUGAGUAACACGUAGGUGACCUGCCCUAAAGAUGGGGACAACGGAUGGAAACAUGCGCUAAUACCCAAUGGACCUGUGAUGUCAGAGUCAUAGGUAAAGCUUCGGCGCUUUAGGAGGGGCCUGCGGCCCAUCAGCUAGUUGGUAGGGUAACGGCCUACCAAGGCGAAGACGGGUAGGGGGUGUGAGAGCAUGACCCCCCACAAUGGGACUGAGACACGGCCCAUACUCCUACGGGAGGCAGCAGCAGGGAAUAUUGCACAAUGGACGGAAGUCUGAUGCAGCGACGCCGCGUGGAUGACGAAGGCCUUCGGGUUGUAAAAUCCUUUUCAGGGGGACGAGAACGGACGGUACCCUUGGAAUAAGCGUCGGCUAACUACGUGCCAGCAGCCGCGGUAAGACGUAGGACGCAAGCGUUAUCCGGAUUUACUGGGCGUAAAGCGUCUGUAGGCGGUUGAGUAAGUUGGGCGUGAAAGCUCCGGGCUUAACCCGGAGAGGUCGUUCAAUACUGCUUAACUAGAGGACAUCAGAGGAGCAUGGAAUUUCCGGUGUAGCGGUAAAAUGCGCAGAUAUCGGAAAGAACACCAGUGGCGAAGGCGGUGCUCUGGGGUGGGCCUGACGCUGAGAGACGAAAGCUAGGGGAGCGAACAGGAUUAGAGACCCUGGUAGUCCUAGCCCUAAACGAUGGAUGCUAGAUGUAGGGCCGAGAAGGCUCUGUGUCGCAGUUAACGCGGUAAGCAUCCCGCCUGGGGAUUACGGCCGCAAGGCUAAAACUCAAACGAAUUGACGGGGCCCCGCACAAGCAGCGGAGCGUGUGGUUUAAUUCGAUGCUACACGAAGAACCUUACCUGGGUUUGACAUGUACGUGGUAGUGAAGCGAAAGCGGAGCGACCCUUCGGGGAGCGUACACAGGUGCUGCAUGGCUGUCGUCAGCUCGUGCCGUGAGGUGUCGGGUUAAGUCCCGUAACGAGCGCAACCCUUGCCCUUAGUUACAAGUGUCUAAGGGGACUGCCGGCGGUAAGCCGGAGGAAGGUGGGGAUGACGUCAAGUCAGCAUGGCCCUUAUAUCCAGGGCUACACACACGCUACAAUGGUCAGUACAAAGGGCAGCGAAGCCGCGAGGUGAAGCGAAUCCCACCAAAGCUGAUCUAAGUUCGGAUUGCAGGCUGCAACUCGCCUGCAUGAAGCUGGAGUUGCUAGUAACCGCGCGUCAGCCAUAGUGCGGUGAAUACGUUCCCNGGGGCUUGUACACACCGCCCGUCACGUCAUGGAAGUCGGUAACGCCUGAAGCUGGUAGUCUGGCCUUAACAGGGGGACGCCAUCUAAGGCGGGGCUGGCAACUGGGACGAAGUCGU